Molecule: ribosomal RNA, 527 nt
Filed under: uncultured bacterium
Lineage: Bacteria
Description: bacterial SSU rRNA
Rfam family: Bacterial small subunit ribosomal RNA
Source: RNAcentral
ACAUCCAGCGAACUUGGCAGAGAUGCCUUGGUGCCGUUCGGGAACGCUGAGACAGGUGCUGCAUGGCUGUCGUCAGCUCGUGUUGUAGAAAUGUUGGGUUAAGUCCCGNAACGAGCGCAACCCUUAUCCUUUGUUGCCAGCGAUUCGGUCGGGAACUCAAAGGAGACUGCCGGUGAUAAACCGGAGGAAGGUGGGGAUGACGUCAAGUCAUCAUGGCCCUUACGAGUAGGGCUACACACGUGCUACAAUGGCGCAUACAAAGAGAAGCGACCUCGCGAGAGCAAGCGGACCUCAUAAAGUGCGUCGUAGUCCGGAUCGGAGUCUGCAACUCGACUCCGUGAAGUCGGAAUCGCUAGUAAUCGUGGAUCAGAAUGCCACGGUGAAUACGUUCCCGGGCCUUGUACACACCGCCCGUCACACCAUGGGAGUGGGUUGCAAAAGAAGUAGGUAGCUUAACCUUCGGGAGGGCGCUUACCACUUUGUGAUUCAUGACUGGGGUGAAGUCGUAACAAGGUAGGCGUAGCGAG